RNAcentral lists this microRNA (22 nucleotides) under Callorhinchus milii (elephant shark). RNAcentral's name for it is "Cmi-Mir-2188_3p* (star (passenger))". The record is from RNAcentral. RNAcentral also lists the same sequence under 1 other name. Lineage: Eukaryota; Metazoa; Chordata; Chondrichthyes; Chimaeriformes; Callorhinchidae.
GAUGUAUGUGGUCAGACCUAUC